UACCUGGUUGAUUCUGCCAGUAGUCAUAUGCUUGUCUCAAAGAUUAAGCCAUGCAUGUCUAAGUAUAAGCAAUUUAUACCGUGAAACUGCGAAUGGCUCAUUAAAUCAGUUAUCGUUUAUUUGAUAGUACCUUACUACUUGGAUAACCGUGGUAAUUCUAGAGCUAAUACAUGCUAAAAGCCCCGACUUCGGAAGGGGUGUAUUUAUUAGAUAAAAAACCAAUGCCCUCCGGGGCUCCUUGGUGAUUCAUAAUAAUUAACGAAUCGCAUGGCCUUGUGCCGGCGAUGGUUCAUUCAAAUUUCUGCCCUAUCAACUUUCGAUGGUAGUAUAUGGGACUACCAUGGUUUCAACGGGUAACGGGGAAUUAGGGUUCUAUUCCGGAGAGGGAGCCUGAGAAACGGCUACCACAUCCAAGGAAGGCAGCAGGCGCGCAAAUUACCCAAUCCCGACACGGGGAGGUAGUGACAAUAAAUACUGAUACAGGGCUCUUUUGGGUCUUGUAAUUGGAAUGAGUACAAUUUAAAUCCCUUAACGAGGAACAAUUGGAGGGCAAGUCUGGUGCCAGCAGCCGCGGUAAUUCCAGCUCCAAUAGCGUAUAUUAAAGUUGUUGCAGUUAAAAAGCUCGUAGUUGAACCUUGGGCCUGGCUGGCCGGUCCGCCUCACCGCGUGCACUGGUCCGGCCGGGUCUUUCCUCCUGGGGAGCCACAUGCCCUUCACUGGGUGUGUUGGGGAACCAGGACUUUUACUUUGAAAAAAUUAGAGUGUUCAAAGCAGGCCUAUGCUCGAAUACAUUAGCAUGGAAUAAUAGAAUAGGACGUGUGGUUCUAUUUUGUUGGUUUCUAGGACCGCCGUAAUGAUUAAUAGGGAUAGUCGGGGGCAUCAGUAUUCAAUUGUCAGAGGUGAAA
RNAcentral lists this non-coding RNA (905 nucleotides) under Blumeria hordei DH14. RNAcentral's name for it is "Blumeria graminis f. sp. hordei DH14 Eukaryotic small subunit ribosomal RNA". It matches the Rfam family "Eukaryotic small subunit ribosomal RNA", at positions 1 to 916 of the family's 1831-position model. The record is from Rfam by way of RNAcentral. Lineage: Eukaryota; Fungi; Ascomycota; Leotiomycetes; Helotiales; Erysiphaceae.